This 116-nucleotide ribosomal RNA is filed under the name Pteropus alecto (black flying fox). Lineage: Eukaryota; Metazoa; Chordata; Mammalia; Chiroptera; Pteropodidae. RNAcentral also lists the same sequence under 1 other name. The record is from RNAcentral.
GUCUACGGUCAUGCCACCCUGAAUAAGCCCGAUGUCUGAUCUCAGAAGCUAAGCAGGGUCGGGCCUGGUUAGUACUUGGAUGGGAGACCACCUAGGAAGACCAGGUGCUGUUGGCA